RNAcentral lists this ribosomal RNA (460 nucleotides) under uncultured bacterium. Its description in RNAcentral is "partial 16S ribosomal RNA". It matches the Rfam family "Bacterial small subunit ribosomal RNA", at positions 338 to 795 of the family's 1533-position model. The record is from RNAcentral.
CCUACGGGUGGCAGCCGUGAGGAAUAUUGGUCAAUGGGCGGAAGCCUGAACCAGCCAAGCCGCGUGAGGGGAUAAGGCCCUACGGGUCGUAAACCUCUUUUGCCGGGGAGCAAGUGCGGGGACGUGUCCCGGCCCGGAGAGUACCCGGCGUAAAAGCAUCGGCUAACUCCGUUCCAGCAGCCGCGUUAUUACGGGGGUGGCGAGCGUUAUCCGUAUUUAUUGGGUUUAAGGGGUGCGUAGGCGGGCGUUUAAGUCCGCGGUAAAAAUUCGGGGCUCAACCCCGUCCGGCCGUUGAAACUGGGGGCCUUGAGUGGGCGAGAAGAAGGCGGAAUGCGUGGUGUAGCGGUGAAAUGCAUAGAUAUCACGCAGAACACCGAUUGCGAAGGCAGCCUUCCGGCGCCCUACUGACGCUGAGGCACGAAAGUGCGGGGAUCGAACAGGAUUAGAUACCCGGGUAGUC